ACUGCGCAUGCGCGGACUCUGGUCGUCUGAGUAAAGCCUUUUCUGGGUACAGGUCAGUCUGCGCUGUAUGGGGGCGUCUGCGCUGUAUAGGGGGGUCUGCGCUGUAGGGGGGUCUGCGCUGUUUAGGGGGGUCUGCGCUAUAUAUGGGGGUCUGCGCUAUAUAUGGGGAUCUGCGCUGUAUAGGGGGGUCUGCACUGUAUAGGGGGGUCUGCGCUGUAUAUGGGGGGGCUGCGCAGUUUAUUGGGGGGGCUGUGAAGUAUAUUGGGUGGCCUGUGUGUUAAAUGUGGGGGGCAGUGUGUUAGAUGGAGGGGCUGUUUGUUACAUGUGGGGGGGCAGUGUAUUAUAUUUGGGGGCUGUGCGUUAGAUGGGGAGCUGUACAGUACGUGUGGCCUGUGUGUUAGAUGUGUAGUUUCACUGAAAAAUAUUUAUUUCCUAGAUAUCAUAUGCCAUGGCAUGCUUUUUGCUAUGAAACCGCUGCCAUCUAGUCACUCGCCAGAGAAGGAUGAGAAACUGCACCCCAGCGAGAGGGACAGCCCCACAUCUGCAACCAAAUCCGUCGGUCACCAAAUUCAGUAAUCUCCGUCUCUUUGUGCAUUGUGUAUGUAUGGUACUCCCAAUUCUUAUAUUUAAUCCGGUGUGUCUCCCACAAUCUUUGUGUCUGUCUGUUGUAUGUAUGUGGCACGCAAGUCUGCAUGCACUGUGUCUGUUAUGCCAGUUACUCUAACCAGUUUAUUUCUUUUUGUGUGUGUCACAGCUCUGACAAGCAUGUUCUCCUAUGGGACACGAAGUACAUGAAGAGGAAUGAAGAAGCCCAUGUUUGAUGCUCGUCUCCAGGGUGGAGUAUUGAAUUUAUAACUAAUGAAGUGGCAUCUGACACAUGAUAAGCUGCUCCUGUUUGCACAGCAACUUCAACAUUGUGUACUGUGAUCACGGCAUAGUUCAGAG
This is a non-coding RNA of Pelobates cultripes (western spadefoot toad), 945 nucleotides long. The record is from the annotation of a GenBank genome assembly. NCBI's taxonomy places the organism in Eukaryota, Metazoa, Chordata, Amphibia, Anura, Pelobatidae.